GCACUCACCUAUCCACUAAACAGCAACUUCAAUGAAAAUAAAAUCUUUCAACAUUGAAGUUGCUGUUUAGUGGAUAGGUGAGUGC
This 85-nucleotide microRNA precursor is filed under the name Pelobates cultripes (western spadefoot toad). The record is from RNAcentral. Lineage: Eukaryota; Metazoa; Chordata; Amphibia; Anura; Pelobatidae.